Long non-coding RNA from Humulus lupulus (European hop), 1213 nucleotides. RefSeq lists it as uncharacterized. Lineage: Eukaryota; Viridiplantae; Streptophyta; Magnoliopsida; Rosales; Cannabaceae. The transcript has 3 exons. The record is from RefSeq and is a predicted model, not a curated record.
CAUACAUUGUUACACAUCAUACUUAACUUCAUUAUCAUACAUCAUCAUCAUAAACAUUAUCAUCAUAAGCAUCAUCAUCAUCAUGCCUUUGUGAGCAUGCCACCUAUCUUGUCCAUGCCACUUCUUAAGGUAAACAGGAGACUCUGGUCCUUGAAUUAGCUCACUACAUAAAAAUCUACUUUCCACAACAAAUAAAUAUAAGUUUAUUAAAAAUGUAUUAUAAUUGGUAUAAGAAAGAAAAAGCGGUAAAAUACACUAACUAAAAAAAUAAGCGGCAAAUAAAAAUAUAAGCAACAAAUUAUAUGUUAACUUUUCCCUCAAUCAUUUUUCCCCAAUUUGUUUUCGUUCACUCUUCCCUCCCAAUAAAAAAAAUAAAAAACCCUAAAUCAUUAAUUCCUCACUUUUGUCAUCUUCUUAGUCGCUGUCACUUUUGGGUUUGUAAUAUCUCUCAUUGUUUCAUUGUUUGUUCAUUUGGGAAAUGUAAGGGUUUUAAUUUAUUCAUCCUUAAACCGAAUCUCACCGAGCGAUUACAAAGAUACAAACUGUACUACAACCUAGAUGAGCUUAGUUCAACAGGUGAAAUGCAUUAUCUUGAAAUGGAGAGUCAGUACUUGAAAAUAUUAUAAUUCCUAAAACAAAAACAAACUCCUAGGCAAUCUCUCACUGAUUGACUCUCACACUAAUUAGUCAUCACAGACUAUGCCGUCCGCCGCCGUCGACCCGCAGAGAAUCAGUGCCGCCGAUGGUUCAUCCUCAAGCAAAGGGAAGCUCCUAUGGUUUGCUUCUAUGCUACUAAUUCAAGUUCAUCGCUUUGGAACUAUUCGAGUUAGAAAAUUUGACUUCAAAUUUAGGUUCAAUUUCCACGAAUCUGGAUCAUGGUAGUAUUGUAAGAAAUUCUCAUAUUCCAUGAGAAGAAAAUAGUCUUAGUGGCGGGAAAGGUUCUUGGAAGCUUGGGGAAUGUGUAUUGAGGCAGAAUGGAUUCAAGGAGUCGAGAGUUUCGGUUUCGAGGAUGUAGUUUUUGUUUUCUUAUGGUUUUUAUAUGUAUCUUUCCGCAUUUUAUUAUGUAAUCUCUUUUUAAUUAUGUCAUGUUUUGAUUUUAAAACAAUGGGAUCCCAUAUUCUAACUUAAAUUUUAUGUAAGUUUAACUUUUAUUUUUACAAGUUUCUUAAUAAAGUUAUGGUCUUUUCACUUGUAAGUUUUAUUAAGGAUUAGU